RNAcentral lists this ribosomal RNA (253 nucleotides) under uncultured bacterium. Its description in RNAcentral is "partial 16S ribosomal RNA". It matches the Rfam family "Bacterial small subunit ribosomal RNA", at positions 524 to 776 of the family's 1533-position model. The record is from RNAcentral.
GACAGAGGGUGCAAACGUUGUUCGGAAUUACUGGGCGUAAAGCGCGUGUAGGCGGCCCUGCAAGUCGGAUGUGAAAGCCCUGGGCUUAACCUAGGAAGUGCAUUCGAAACUGCAGGGCUUGAGUUCUGGAGAGGAAGGCGGAAUUCUCGGUGUAGAGGUGAAAUUCGUAGAUAUCGAGAGGAACACCGGUGGCGAAGGCGGCCUUCUGGACAGUGACUGACGCUGAGACGCGAAAGCGUGGGGAGCAAACAGG